RNAcentral lists this ribosomal RNA (253 nucleotides) under uncultured bacterium. RNAcentral describes it as "partial 16S ribosomal RNA". It matches the Rfam family "Bacterial small subunit ribosomal RNA", at positions 524 to 776 of the family's 1533-position model. The record is from RNAcentral.
UACGUAGGGGGCAAGCGUUGUCCGGAAUCAUUGGGCGUAAAGAGCGUGUAGGCGGUCCGGUAAGUCAGCUGUGAAAGUCAAGGGCUCAACCCUUGAAAGCCGGUUGAUACUGUCGAGCUAGAGUCCGGAAGAGGCGAGUGGAAUUCCCGGUGUAGCGGUGAAAUGCGCAGAUAUCGGGAGGAACACCAAUGGCGAAGGCAGCUCGCUGGGACGGUACUGACGCUGAGACGCGAAAGCGUGGGGAGCAAACAGG